Molecule: long non-coding RNA, 845 nt
Organism: Columba livia (rock pigeon)
Lineage: Eukaryota; Metazoa; Chordata; Aves; Columbiformes; Columbidae
Exons: 3
Source: RefSeq, a predicted model, not a curated record
GAAGAGGCGCCCGGCCGGGCUAAAGUUGAGGAGAAGCCGUUGAGGGGGGUGGAGGGGGAGGCGGCGCGAAACCGCCGGGCGCUGAGAAGACCCCGCUGCCCCGGGCGGGGCGGCCCUACCCUACCCUGCCCUUCCCUUCCCGGCGAGUUUAAAGCCGCGGCGGCGCCUCCUCCGUCCGCAGCCACCUUUCGCCGCCCUGCCCGGAGGGGAACGGCGGCUCUCGGGGCCAGAGCGUGGGGAAGCGGCCCCGGGGUUCCUUUCCCUCAGGGAGUCUCCGCAACCCGGCCCCGCUAUGGCCGCCAGCUCUGCUGUGUGAAAGACAGAAUCCAGCCCAGAACCACCGAGGAACAUCGGAUGAAGCUGUGCUUUGACCCUCUGGAGAAAGAGCUUCCACCUAUGGAUGAGGACAGAGCAGACCUUAAUUUCCAGCACAGUUAUUUUGGAGGACUGGCAAAGCCUGCUGCAAAGGUCUGAUACUGCUGGACUGAACAGGAGACAUCAUCCCUCUGCUCACAAAACCGUAAACCUGCUGUGACUGGAAGAUGAGGAAUGGGGUGUUCCUGCUGGUGACUCUGAAGAGGUUUUCUUUCACUUACAGAGGCAAGAGCAUAUAUAUGUCCUGUUACAUUGAUUUUUAUCCACCAAGACUUUGAGAAAUCUAUCACGCUCUUCAUUUGUCUUGCUUGCGCAGUUCUGUCAAUUUUUUAUGGUUCUAAGGCUAACUUGAAAAGACCCAUGAAAGCCUCUGCCACCUUUAAAAGUCUUAGAAUUAGAGAAAGAAAGAUUUGACAGUUUAAUUUUUCUUUUCUUUUGAGAGUGGCAUCAGGAGGGAGGACGAAAAUAAA